Molecule: long non-coding RNA, 1129 nt
Organism: Globicephala melas (long-finned pilot whale)
Lineage: Eukaryota; Metazoa; Chordata; Mammalia; Artiodactyla; Delphinidae
Source: RefSeq, a predicted model, not a curated record
GCGCCCUGUGUGCUCAGGAAGUGCUGGACGGGGGGCUGCCGGCAUGGGGUGCCGGAACCAGGAUUUCAGGCUUUCCACUCCCGGACUCCACUUUCUCUGCCAAAGUUUUCCCGUGAACCAUUUCCAGACUAUAAGGAGAGGGGAAGAAGGAUGCUGUUCUCAGCAGGGAGGCCUGCAGAGAUUGUCAUCUCUCUAGGGAAGAAGGAGAGGCUGCAGGCAGGUUCAUAGCCUUCCACAGCCUGCCGUACUGGACACUGCAUCCUCCUGCAUGGCUCGGCCUGUCUAAAUUUUGUCUUCAUUCAGCAAACAUGCAUGCGAGGCCUUCUGUGAACCAGGCUCUGUGUGCUGGAGGCAGGGGAUACGAAGACAGAUGAAGCCUCUUCCUGCCCCUGCGAGUCACUGAGGGAGACACAGACACAUAUGGGUGCAUCAAUACGGGGAGCAUUCAAGGCCGGUAAUUGUUGCACAGAGAGAAGUGGGAUUACUUCCACCCAGGACUGGGGAAAGCAGGGAAGUCUUCAUGGAGGAGACUCACCCAGUAGGCGGGCAUGGACAAGGACCCAGAACCCACUGCCUUUGAUGAUGUCCCAUCCUCCACCCCACCUGCACACUCGUGCAACACUAAUUCAUAGGCACAACUCUCCAGCCCGGUGCUCGAGAAUGAUGGGAAAUGGCCUCAUGACUCCCUCUCCGGUGAGGAUGUGAAUGAAACAGGUCAACAGAGGCUCAAGUCCCAACUCUGUCACUUAGCAGCUGUGUGUGAGGCUGGGUAAGUCACCAGUAAAAUAAAAUAAUUCAGUUCCCUUCAGAGAGCUGUCAGGAGGAUCAUGUGAGACAAUGGAAUUGAAAUGUGCUUUGUAAACCGUGACUGUAUGUUGACGAGAAGUGUAACUACCGUGUCUUUAUGCAGAUUUAAGCCCAUGGGGUAUGUGAUGGCUUCCUGGUAGCCUGGCUUGGCUAGAAUUCCCAUGUGCUAGUCUCUCAUGGAGUUGGAGAACAGAAAGGAAGCAGCAGCUAUUUUGUAGCAUACACUCCCCAUCUCCCAGUUAUUCAAUCAAACACUAACCCAGGUGCUGCUGCAAAGGGAUUUUGCACAGGUGAUUAAAGUCCCUAAUCAGUUGACUUUAAA